ACAGAGGGGGUAAGCGUUGUUCGGAAUUACUGGGCGUAAAGGGCGCGUAGGCGGCCUUCUAAGUCGAACGUGAAAUCCCUGGGCUCAACCCAGGAACUGCGUCCGAUACUGGAAGGCUUGAAUCCGGGAGAGGGAUGCGGAAUUCCAGGUGUAGCGGUGAAAUGCGUAGAUAUCUGGAGGAAUACCGGUGGCGAAGGCGGCGUUCUGGACCAUUACUGACACUGAAUCGCGAAAGCUAGGGGAGCAAACGGGA
RNAcentral lists this ribosomal RNA (253 nucleotides) under uncultured prokaryote. RNAcentral's name for it is "partial 16S ribosomal RNA". It matches the Rfam family "Bacterial small subunit ribosomal RNA", at positions 525 to 777 of the family's 1533-position model. The record is from RNAcentral.